Molecule: non-coding RNA, 89 nt
Organism: Canis lupus familiaris (dog)
Lineage: Eukaryota; Metazoa; Chordata; Mammalia; Carnivora; Canidae
Source: Rfam
CGGGGGAGGCCGGAUCCUGGGCUGUGUCCCAGCGCCCUGUGCUCCCGGGCCUGCGCUGUUGGAAUCACGCUCCCACCCCACAGCCCCCU